Molecule: ribosomal RNA, 500 nt
Filed under: uncultured bacterium
Lineage: Bacteria
Description: bacterial SSU rRNA
Rfam family: Bacterial small subunit ribosomal RNA
Source: RNAcentral
AUUGGUGCCUUCGGGAACUCGUGAGACAGGUGCUGCAUGGCUGUCGUCAGCUCGUGUUGUGAAAUGUUGGGUUAAGUCCCGCAACGAGCGCAACCCUUAUCCUUUGUUGCCAGCGGUUAGGCCGGGAACUCAAAGGAGACUGCCAGUGAUAAACUGGAGGAAGGUGGGGAUGACGUCAAGUCAUCAUGGCCCUUACGAGUAGGGCUACACACGUGCUACAAUGGCGCAUACAAAGAGAAGCGACCUCGCGAGAGCAAGCGGACCUCAUAAAGUGCGUCGUAGUCCGGAUUGGAGUCUGCAACUCGACUCCAUGAAGUCGGAAUCGCUAGUAAUCGUAGAUCAGAAUGCUACGGUGAAUACGUUCCCGGGCCUUGUACACACCGCCCGUCACACCAUGGGAGUGGGUUGCAAAAGAAGUAGGUAGCUUAACCUUCGGGAGGGCGCUUACCACUUUGUGAUUCAUGACUGGGGUGAAGUCGUAACAAGGUAAGCGUAGUGCU